AUACUUACCUGGCAGGAGAGAUACCAUGAUCACGAAGGUGGUUUUCCCAGGGCGAGGCUUAUACAUUGCACUCCGGAUGUGCUGACCCCUGCGAUUUCCCCAAAUGUGGGAAACUCGACUGCAUAAUUUGUGGAAAAAAAAAUA
Molecule: small nuclear RNA, 144 nt
Filed under: Rhinopithecus roxellana (golden snub-nosed monkey)
Lineage: Eukaryota; Metazoa; Chordata; Mammalia; Primates; Cercopithecidae
Description: U1 spliceosomal RNA (ENSRROG00000003019.1)
Rfam family: U1 spliceosomal RNA
About the family: U1 is a small nuclear RNA (snRNA) component of the spliceosome (involved in pre-mRNA splicing). Its 5' end forms complementary base pairs with the 5' splice junction, thus defining the 5' donor site of an intron.
Source: RNAcentral